AUUAUUUUAGCAUAAUAGUGCAUUAAAUUUAGGAUUUAAUUAUAUUAAUAAUUUUAUUAAUAAAUAAUA
This 69-nucleotide transfer RNA is filed under the name Apis nigrocincta. RNAcentral describes it as "tRNA-Leu". Lineage: Eukaryota; Metazoa; Arthropoda; Insecta; Hymenoptera; Apidae. The record is from RNAcentral.